GAGAAUGAAGGUUUUGAAAGAUUAUCAGCAAGAUUGAGCAAUUUGGAGGUUCUUGAUUUGAGUUACAAUUUCUUUAAUGAAAGCAUACUGCCUUCUUUGAAUGGAUUUUCAUCUCUCAAAUCUCUAAAUCUUGGAUAUAAUCAGUUUACAUUACCAAUUCAAGCACAAGACUUGCCUAAUUUUGAGAAUUUGGAAGAUUUGUUCUUGGACAAGAUUUCACUCAACAACAGCUUUCUUCAAAGAGUUAGAGUGAUGACUUCUCUGAAGGUUUUAUCACUGUCUGGUUGUGGACUAACUGGCUUAUUGCCAAAUGCUCAAGGACUCUGUGAAUUGAUAAAUCUUCAAAUGCUAGAUGUCAGCAACAAUGAUCUCCGGGGUACCUUGCCCUGGUGUUUGGUUAAUUUGAUAUCCCUUCAGCAAUUAGAUCUCUCUUUCAAUCAAUUUGCUGGAAAUAUCUCCCACUCUCCCCUUAAGAAUCUUACUUCUCUUGUGGACCUAAAACUUUCAAACAAUCACUUCCAAAUACCAUUCUCAUUAGGUCCAUUUUUUUACCAUUCAAACCUCAGGCAAAUCAAUGGUCAGAAUAAUGAAAUAUAUGUGGAAACAGAGUUGCAUUCAUCCCCCAAAUUCCAGUUAAAUUCCAUCCUUCUGUCUGGUUGUGGAAAUUGUGGACCCUUUCCCAACUUUCUCUAUCAUCAACAUGACCUGCAAAUAGUUGAUCUCUCAAAUAUGACAUUGAAAGGGAGUUUUCCUAACUGGUUGUUAACAAACAACACAAGGUUGGAAGUACUUCAUCUAGUAAAUAAUUCUCUUUCAGGACAUUUGGAACUUCCAUUUCAUCCUCAUAUUAAUCUGUUGGAAUUAGAUAUUUCCAAUAAUAACUUCCACAAUCACAUUCCCUUGGAGAUUGGAUCAUAUUUCCCAAAAUUGAUAUAUUUAAACAUGUCCAAAAAUGGUUUUGAUGGUAGCAUCCCCUCUUCCUUUGGCAAUAUGAGCUCUUUAGAGAUUUUAGACUUAUCUGACAAUCAGCUGUCAGGGAUCAUACCUGAACUCUUAGCCAUUGGUUGUUUCUCGUUAGAUACCCUUAUAUUGUCAAACAACAAUUUGCAAGGUCACAUAUUCUCUGAACAUUUUAACUUGACAAAGUUGUGGUGGCUGCAAUUGGAUGGAAAUAACUUCAGUGGAAGUAUCUCCAAUUGCUUGUCCACGAGCUCUUUGUCAAUUCUGGAUCUCAGAGAUAACCAUCUCUCUGGAAGGAUCCCAGGGUGGAUAGGCAAUUUAUCAUAUUUGAAGGACUUGGUCAUUUCGAAUAAUCAUCUUGAAGGUCCUAUUCCACUGGAAUUUUGCCAACUCCACUAUCUUGAAGUUUUGGACCUUUCAAAGAACAAUGUCUCUGGUAAUUUACCAUCUUGCUUUAGGCCUCCAUCAAUAAUACACGUUUACUUGUCUGAUAAUGGGAUAGAAGGGCCUAUGACAAAUGCACUUUCCGAAGGUGGUUUCCUAACUACGUUAGAUCUUAGCAAUAACCACAUAACUGGUAGAAUUCCAAAUUGGAUUGGUGGGCUUUCUGCAUUGAAAUUUCUUCUCCUGAAGAAUAACAAUUUUGACGGUGAGAUCCCACUUCAAAUGUGUCAUCAGUUCUACCAAUUAAGUUUGAUAGAUCUUUCUCACAACAACCUUUCCGGUCCCAUUCCUUCUUGUCUUACACCUGAUCUUUCUGCUGAGCCUCCAGAUCCUAAUGAUGUUAGCUUUUUGGAUCCACCCUUCUUUCCCUUCUUUCAACCAAAAAGGCCUUUAAAAUUUACAACAAAACAUUUUUCCUAUUCUUACCAGGGGAAAAUUCUACGGCUUAUGUCUGGACUUGAUCUCUCAUGCAAUAAACUGACAGGCAACAUUCCCUCUGAAAUUGGAAACUUGAGUAGGAGCCACGUGCUAAAUCUCUCAUACAAUGGCUUUACAGGUCCAAUCCCUUCAACAUUUUCAAAUCUAGAGCAAAUUGAGAGCUUAGAUCUUUCCUACAACAACUUGGAGGGGAAGAUCCCUUUUCAGCUUACCAAGUUAAACUAUUUGUCAGUUUUUAGCGUGGCACACAACAACCUAUCUGGAAUGACACCUGAAAGAACUGAACAACAUUUGAUGCAAGUAGCUAUGAGGGAAAUCCUUACCUCUGUGGAUUGCCAUUGCCAAAAAAUUGCACUUCAUCUACUGAAUCAUUAUCUUGGCCUAGAGCUUCAGCAAUGGAUGAAGAUAGUGGUUUUCUUGACAUGAAUGUAUUCUAUGCGAGUUUCACAGUUUCUUACAUAUUUGUGCUACUAGGAAUCUUCUUAGUUCUGUGCAUAAAUCCUCAAUGGCGACAUGCAUGGUUUUAUCUAAUUGAAAUGUGCAUUAGCUCUUGCCAGUACUCUGUUGUAAGCAAUAUGCCUAAGCUAUUCUGUCAUGGAAAUAAAUAGCUGCCACAUUCUUCUUGGAAUUAAGAGAUUGCAUUUUGUAUUAUUCAACUUAUCAAGCUCCGAGAGAUUGCAAUAUUAUUUAUUAUAUCAUAUUCGAUUGAGGCAAGCAUCCCAUUUUCAAGAAAAGCACUGGCGGCUGCCUGAUUAAUUCACGCUUCACAAGUUGCUUCCAUUUUCAAACUGAAAGCGAGAGCUUGAUGCCACACCCAAUGUAGCACGCAACAAAGCUUCUUUCCAUUGAAGUAUGCAGUGAGGAAUCGAGGAGACCAGAUUUAAUUAUGUGAUUUAAUCAAAUUCUUCCCUUCAUUAGUUUACCAACUUGUUUUGUUCGAUCUCUUUCUGAGCGUUUCGGCCGUCUCUUUUCUGACUGAAGAUGGAAUCAAAUUCCAAAUUGCAUGCUC
Molecule: unclassified non-coding RNA, 2851 nt
Filed under: Hevea brasiliensis (rubber tree)
Lineage: Eukaryota; Viridiplantae; Streptophyta; Magnoliopsida; Malpighiales; Euphorbiaceae
Source: RNAcentral